Molecule: non-coding RNA, 851 nt
Organism: Macaca mulatta (Rhesus monkey)
Lineage: Eukaryota; Metazoa; Chordata; Mammalia; Primates; Cercopithecidae
Source: RefSeq, a predicted model, not a curated record
GAGGAAAAGGAAGCCCGCUGAGGGAGUCCAUCUUGUUACCUCCUAGGCCAGGGCAGAGGGCAGAGGGUAGAGUGUGGGUUGCAGGGAAAGUGGAAGAUACACUCCUCUCCCCACUGUAGGGGAAGAAAAACUCUUCCUCUCCCAUCUUAGAUUUAGUGAUUGGGGACCCGUGAAUGAAACUGACAAAAGACAGAUUAGCAAGAGAGAAAAACAGAUUUAAUCAUUGUUUAAGGAACAUGCAGAGCCCUUCUGAGCACUCAUGGAGAAGAUUCUAUGUACAAGCAUAAAAGUUUUUCGGAAUUCAAGAAGAAAAUGAGUUACUCAGGUGUGUGCGUGCGUUUUCCAGAUGGGAGAAAGAGCAAAACAGAUAAGGUGAUAGAAUUUCCAUUGUUAGAUGCCUCUUGUUUGUCUGUGAACUACGCAUGAAGGAGCUAUCCUGAGCCACGAAUACUGAAAACACUUGAGUGCUUUUCCACGUGUGAAAACCUUACCCUUUGAAAAAUCCAAGGCCCACCCUGGGCCACACAUGUCGAAUCUGAGCUCAGCUGUUAGGCAGCUCCUCACCUGCGCCAACAGCGAAAGCAAAAGUGGUUCGGCACAGACAUUGUUUAAAAUGGCUGCGUUAAAAAUACCAUCUCGGCUUCACAGAUUUCUGGAGCUGUGAGGAGCAUCCUCAUUUAUGUGCUCUGAUGAAGAUCCAUCUAGCACAAUAUCAAUGAUGAACUGGACCAGUGUCAUAUUCUGCAGCAUAUCAAGGCAAUCAAGAUCAUCCUGGACUGUAUUAUGACAGAGGGCCAGGGAGUGAACAGAGCCCUUAUAAUAUAUGCAGUUUCUCUUGCACGUGAAGGCAA